GCUCUCUCACUGGGUUUGCAGAUGAGCUAUUUAAAGGGGUCCUUGGUGAGUAGGUCCGGGAGCAGGAGGAGCUGAGCAGGGGGGGAGCUGAGGGACCCCGAAGCGGACACGUUGUCAAAGUCGGCCUGCCUGGCAGGCCAGCGGCGGCCACAGCCCAUUUGCAGCUCUGGAGAGGGAUGCUGAAGGUUGACGACGAGCGCCCCCCUCUCUGGCUCGUCCAAGCAGGAGGGGCAGAGGCAAAAUGUCCUCAUGGAACUGGAGCACUCGGAGCCUGCUCAGGUGUCCAGAACUGUUGCAAGGUCACCACCUCCUGGCAGCCCUCCCGGAUGGCCCCAGCAAUAGCUGUGUGACCUCGGUGGCCUGCGGCCUUGCAGGGCAGAGGCCAGGGGUUCUCUGCUCUCUAACCAGAAGGAGCCCUGUCUCCAGAGCCAGAUGUGCCGCUCCUCCGUCGGGCAGCCCUGAGUUCGGGCACAACCAGCCAAGACACCUUUGGGGAUUCAGGCUCUCCUCUUACAAGGGGACAGGCAUCUUCCCUCACAUCCCCCGGGCUCCUACGAAAAGCCGAAACCGCAGUUUAGAAAUCCACUUUUGAGCUGGGCCUCUGCAAUGAGGCCUCCCCGGCUGCUGGUAGAAGUUCUCCAGGAUUAUGAAGUGUCUUUUUAAGAAGCCACCUAGAGGAAUGUUGCUGUGCCCCCUGCGAAAUCAUUCUAGAAGGCUGGAUCUUUCAGAAGAGCCAACAUGGUAAACUCCACGAAGGAGAAAAAUGAGCCUGAAGAAUCAGUCAUCUUUCCUCUUCUCCCUGCCAAAAGCAGUUUCUGGCACAUAGUAUGCCUUAAGUGAGGGCUUGCUGACUUGAUUAACUGAACAAAUGAAUAAUGAGGAUGACUUACUGCACCUUAUUUCCCUGUUUGCCUUUUUCUAGUAAACCCAGUGCCAAAUUUAAU
Molecule: long non-coding RNA, 944 nt
Filed under: Mustela putorius furo (domestic ferret)
Lineage: Eukaryota; Metazoa; Chordata; Mammalia; Carnivora; Mustelidae
Description: lncRNA (ENSMPUG00000027147.1)
Source: RNAcentral